UGAAGAGAUGCGGAUUAACACUGAAAGCCCGGAGAGGCGGAGCGCGUCACGGCGCAUCGCCAGGCUAAAAGAGGAGCGUUCUGGCAAAUUUAACCCGAAUAAAUUACACCUUGAGGUGGAAGAGGGAUUUCUCCGUUGUUGGAAUAGCAUCUGCACUGGAACUUUUUGACAAAAGCAAACUGUCCAUCAUGGCUAUCACCAGUGGACAUGGAUCACUGUGGGGCCUGUGAUUAACAGAUAGCACCUCGUCUCCUCUGCUGGCAGGCCAUCAUUACGGAAAGCACUAGAAGAUAGGUGCUGUGGGCGAAGAGACCUUUAGGAAAAUGUCAGCGACAGUCAGAGCCCCAAAUUUCCUCUAUUCACUCUUUCCCAUGUGGUGCUAAACCCCUUAAUUACACAACCCAUUUCUCCUAUUGCCUAAUGUAUCUAAAUACAGUGUCUGAUUUCAGAGCAUGUGGAGAUUUUAUUUUAUCUUAUGUGGCUGUUAAAUAAAAAAAAUAAAAAAAUAAACAACCACAGCCGUAUAUUUCACCCAUUUCAGCAAAGAACAAAAAAACACCCAGCUCCCCUUUCCCAUUCCCUUUCACUGGAGCCAGCUUCUCUGUCUUAAUACUCUUAGUCCCUCAGUUGGCAUGUUUUCCAAGAACCCGCUGCAUUUUCAGAUUUGUAAAAUCCGUCAAAAUGCCUGUAAUGAAUAUUUCUACAGCAGUGAGUGUAUUUAAUGUGCUGUGUGACCAGCCCAAUAAGAAACCUGUACUGAUCUGGCACUAGGAACCAGAGUGUCAGUAGACAGAAGCCUCAGUCAGUGUAGAAAACAGUAUAAAACAGAUAAUUUUCAUUCAAACACAAACCUCUUUUAUCAAGAGAAGCUGAAAGGAAAACAUUUAU
Molecule: long non-coding RNA, 888 nt
Organism: Perca flavescens (yellow perch)
Lineage: Eukaryota; Metazoa; Chordata; Actinopteri; Perciformes; Percidae
Exons: 3
Source: RefSeq, a predicted model, not a curated record